RNAcentral lists this ribosomal RNA (797 nucleotides) under Streptomyces sp. 690I. RNAcentral describes it as "bacterial SSU rRNA". It matches the Rfam family "Bacterial small subunit ribosomal RNA", at positions 44 to 855 of the family's 1533-position model. Lineage: Bacteria; Bacillati; Actinomycetota; Actinomycetes; Kitasatosporales; Streptomycetaceae. The record is from RNAcentral.
GUGCUUACACAUGCAAGUCGAACGAUGAACCGCUUUCGGGCGGGGAUUAGUGGCGAACGGGUGAGUAACACGUGGGCAAUCUGCCCUGCACUCUGGGACAAGCCCUGGAAACGGGGUCUAAUACCGGAUAUGACUGUCNNNCGCAUGGUGGAUGGUGUAAAGCUCCGGCGGUGCAGGAUGAGCCCGCGGCCUAUCAGCUUGUUGGUGAGGUAGUGGCUCACCAAGGCGACGACGGGUAGCCGGCCUGAGAGGGCGACCGGCCACACUGGGACUGAGACACGGCCCAGACUCCUACGGGAGGCAGCAGUGGGGAAUAUUGCACAAUGGGCGAAAGCCUGAUGCAGCGACGCCGCGUGAGGGAUGACGGCCUUCGGGUUGUAAACCUCUUUCAGCAGGGAAGAAGCGAAAGUGACGGUACCUGCAGAAGAAGCGCCGGCUAACUACGUGCCAGCAGCCGCGGUAAUACGUAGGGCGCAAGCGUUGUCCGGAAUUAUUGGGCGUAAAGAGCUCGUAGGCGGCUUGUCACGUCGGUUGUGAAAGCCCGGGGCUUAACCCCGGGUCUGCAGUCGAUACGGGCAGGCUAGAGUUCGGUAGGGGAGAUCGGAAUUCCUGGUGUAGCGGUGAAAUGCGCAGAUAUCAGGAGGAACACCGGUGGCGAAGGCGGAUCUCUGGGCCGAUACUGACGCUGAGGAGCGAAAGCGUGGGGAGCGAACAGGAUUAGAUACCCUGGUAGUCCACGCCGUAAACGGUGGGCACUAGGUGUGGGCAACAUUCCACGUUGUCCGUGCCGCAGCUAA